RNAcentral lists this non-coding RNA (45 nucleotides) under Schistosoma margrebowiei. The record is from RNAcentral. Lineage: Eukaryota; Metazoa; Platyhelminthes; Trematoda; Strigeidida; Schistosomatidae.
ACCCAAAUGACGAGUCCCAAAUAGGACAAAACGUGCGUCCUGGAU